GGGGACGACCGGUUUUGACAGCAAGGUCAGACGGACGGUAAGCAUGCCGAGUAAUGAAAAAGCACUCGUAAAUCCCAUUUUCAACAAUUAAACGGCGAAAAUAACUACGCUUUAGCUGCUUAAUCUGAAUUAUAGUAGGAUUCUCAAGCCAACGCUCCUGCAAGGCAGGAGGGCUAAAUGUCUCUCGAAAGCCUUGAUUUACGGCGUUCCCUAUAGAGGCAUCGUAAAAGUAAAUCUAGGAAGCAGAAGCUUCGGCUGACUUCCGAAAUUUUUGAAGCUAAGCCAUAAGUGGGCGGUUUUUGGCCGGCUUGUGGUCUAAAAAUAACCAAAGACUAAGCAUGUAGAAAGCUCUUCGGUUGCUUGUUUGGACGCGGGUUCGAUUCCCGCCGUCUCCACAA
RNAcentral lists this transfer-messenger RNA (398 nucleotides) under Flavobacteriaceae. Its description in RNAcentral is "GCA-2747695 sp002747695 Standard tmRNA". It matches the Rfam family "transfer-messenger RNA". From Rfam's summary of the family: Bacterial tmRNA, also known as 10Sa RNA or SsrA, is named for its dual tRNA and mRNA-like properties. Lineage: Bacteria; Pseudomonadati; Bacteroidota; Flavobacteriia; Flavobacteriales. RNAcentral also lists the same sequence under 1 other name. The record is from RNAcentral.